CACAUUUCCUGUGUCUCGGCUAGAGCCUUGGGCAGUGUGAGCUGGCAGGGCAGAUUGCUGAAGGAGGCUAGAGAUAGAACACCACCCAGCUCUGCAUCCUGAGACAAAGAAGACUUUCCCUGGGCUCAUAUGACAGAGAUGAAAUUUAGAAGAAAACAUGUUUUCAUAGCAUAAAUAAUCCAGUGGCGAACCAAUCCAAUCCAAUUCCAAGACUGCUCAUUGAGACACUUACCAUAGGCCUCCCCUCUGCAGCCAGUGCUCCAGAUUGGGAAUGGCUGAAGCUUGAGUUCACAACACCCCGCAGGGGAAGGGGAUGCUGGUUUCCUUUAUGUAAACCCAACAAAGAAACACCUGGCUUUGGGGAGCA
This is a long non-coding RNA of Piliocolobus tephrosceles (Ugandan red Colobus), 367 nucleotides long. RefSeq lists it as uncharacterized. Lineage: Eukaryota; Metazoa; Chordata; Mammalia; Primates; Cercopithecidae. The record is from RefSeq and is a predicted model, not a curated record. The transcript has 2 exons.